RNAcentral lists this long non-coding RNA (269 nucleotides) under Capsicum annuum. Its description in RNAcentral is "long non-coding RNA (CANN_LNC017374)". Lineage: Eukaryota; Viridiplantae; Streptophyta; Magnoliopsida; Solanales; Solanaceae. The record is from RNAcentral.
CCCAGUGUAUUCCCACCUAGUGGGGUCUGGGGAGGGUAAGAUGUACGCAGUCCAUACCUCUACCUCUGAUGAAGUAGAAAGGCUGUUUCCGAAAGACCCCCGGCUCAAGGCACGAGAUACCACACAAACACAUAGUAAAGCACAGAAGUAGAUUACAUAACAUAAAUACGGCACCCAUAAGUAAUAUAAAACAGAGGAAAGCAGAGGAAAGCACACAGAUUCAUAAUAAAACAUGGAACACGGGACACGGAUCAUAACAGGAAUAAAAC